This 2341-nucleotide long non-coding RNA is filed under the name Homo sapiens (human). RNAcentral's name for it is "non-protein coding lnc-P4HA2-3:1". The record is from RNAcentral. Lineage: Eukaryota; Metazoa; Chordata; Mammalia; Primates; Hominidae.
AUAGCUUACCUCCCCUCUCCCUGCCCCUCUGAUGGGGCCUCCCGGGGUUACUAUGUCUGUCCCAUCAGCAGGGUCCCAGACCAAGGUUCUCACAACAGAGCAGAGUGAGCUCCAUUUAGCUGGGCCGCAUGGCCUUCAGCUCUAAUUUUCAGUCAUUAUUUCUUUGAGCAUUUUUUCUGCCCUUUUCUCUCUCUCUCCUCUCCUAGUAAUUCUAUUAUGCAUAUAUUGCUAUGUUUAAUGGUGUUCCCCAUUUCUCUGAGACUCUAUACAUUUUCUUUAUUCCCUUUUUCCUCUGUGCACGUAGCUGGACAGGGGCACCCAGAGGUGGAGGGGAGGUGGGGCACUCCCCAGGUGGGGCAGAGGGACUCAGGGCCCACAGCCCAGGCUUCUGGGCAUCAUGGUGUUGUGCAAGUCACAACACUGCUCCCACCCAUCCAACUCAGCAGUUCAAGGGCUGUGAGCCCAGGGCCAAGCUAGCACACCCCCUAGAGGGGCUGAGUCCUUGGCCAUGAAGGGAGGGCUGGCUUGAAGCUGCAUCUGGGCUCCGCCUACCUUCACCCCUUUCUUUGGUUCUCUAGGAGGAAAGUAUCAAAUAACAAAGCUUGUCACUCAGAGAACCAGAAAGGACUCCAUUUGUGUUUCAACCUCCUUGGAGGGUCAAGGAAGCCUGCAAGAGUCUUGAGGAGAGUUUGAUGGGGCUGAACUUACAGAUAAGCACAAUGAGAGUUACAGAGGCACAAGUUGUCCACAGAGGCCAGCAGGGGCUGUGUACCUCAUGUGGCCCUGUGAGCUGGGAUUUGGAAUUUAGACUCUGUCCUAAGAGCAGUGAGGAGCCAUGGAAACUAUAAUAGGCAAGAUUGACAGGGAAUUGCACUUGAAAAACCUCCUUUAGCUGUUAUGUAGAGAAAGGAUUGAGGGAGGGGCCAGGCAGGAGACAGGGAGACAAGGCAGAGGCCCUUACACUGUUCAGCAUGAGACAGUGGCGUCUGGACUGGGGAGAGUGGGCUAGUUUGGAAUUAGUUAGGGAUGAACGCAGUCAUGCUUGCUAACUGGUUUUACUGCGUCUACCUUUGCCCCUUAGGGCCUAUUCUCCAUACAGCAGACAAUGUGAUCCUAGUUAAAACAUAAUUCCAGGUCAUGCCGCUCCUCUGGCUUUUCAUCUCAGAGUAAAAGUCAAAGUCCUUACCAUGGCUGUAGGAGAACAGCCUGUUGCGUGGCAAGAAUGAUGCUUUUUUUUUUUUUUAACAGGGUCUCACUCUGUUGCCUAGGCUCGAGUGCAGUGGCAAGAUCAUAGCUCACUGCAGCCUCGAACUCCUGGGCUCAAGGGGUCCUCCCACCUCAGCCUUCUGAGUAGUUUGGACUAUAGGUGCAUGCCGCCACAGCUGGCUAUUUUUUUUUUCAUUUUUAUUUUUUCUAGAGAGGGGGUCUCGCUAUGUUGCCCAGGUUAGUCUCAAACUCCUGGCCUUGAAAGAUCCUCCCGCCUUGGCCUCCCAAAGUGCUGGGAUUACAGGUGUGGGCCACUGUUCCAGGCCACUUGAUCCAAAACCACCGUAAUGACCAAUGUUUGACCCCUAGAUGCCAAGAUAUUCAUCAGCAAGAUCUUUAAACAAUGCCUGUAGAAUAGAAAACUCUUCAUAAAGAUGCUUAUUUAACCUCUCCAGUGGUCACGAGUCUUGGCAAGAAAGUCUGAAGACGGGACCAGCUGCACAUGUUUUACCCUAAGAGCUUGCUAUAUAAAGGAUACUUUCUGGAAGGCUGGUUGGUGUGAGGAUUCAGUCUUGCAGCCACUCGAGACAUCACUUCUGUUCGUAAGUCCCUCUUAUAUAUUUCUCUCUGAGAAAAUGGAUUUGUCAACCUCUUUCUUUGGCUUCUCAGCUCUCUCGGCCUUUGGGUUUGCAUAGUCCUGCUAUCCAUGGAACAAUGGCUCACAAGGGCCAACACAGCCUUGUCUCCCUCACAUCUCUCUGACGACCUCAUCUACUACUUCCAGCCACCUCACUUAUACUACUUCAGUCACUGCUUGCCUAGGGCCUUAGGAUUUCCUGUGCCCUCUGCCUGGAAUGUAAUCCCCCCAGAUACCUGCACAGAUGAUAUCUUACCACCUCAGUUCUCUGCCCAAAUGUUACCUUAUCUGUGAGGCCUUUCCAGAUUCCAUAUAUGAAGAGAAUCCCUUAUGCUCUACUGUAAUGCCUUCUUUAUUUCCUUGAUAGCACUGCUUAUAGCCUGUAGUUAUUUUACAUGUUCGUUCAAAAUGUUUUCCUAGGGUGCAACACAAUGCCUGGCAUAUAGAAGGUUCUUAAUAGGUAUUUUUGUUUUUUGAGACAGAGUCUUGCUCUGUCAC